This 403-nucleotide ribosomal RNA is filed under the name Fusobacteriota bacterium. RNAcentral describes it as "Fusobacteria bacterium partial 16S ribosomal RNA". It matches the Rfam family "Bacterial small subunit ribosomal RNA", at positions 355 to 776 of the family's 1533-position model. Lineage: Bacteria; Fusobacteriati; Fusobacteriota. The record is from RNAcentral.
UGGGGAAUAUUGCACAAUGGGGGAAACCCUGAUGCAGCGACGCCGCGUGAGCGAAGAAGGUUUUCGAAUCGUAAAGCUCUGUCCUAUGGGAAGAUAAUGACGGUACCAUAGGAGGAAGCCCCGGCUAACUACGUGCCAGCAGCCGCGGUAAUACGUAGGGGGCAAGCGUUGUCCGGAAUCACUGGGCGUAAAGGGUUCGCAGGCGGAAAUGCAAGUCAGUUGUGAAAGGCAGAGGCUCAACCUCUGUAAGCAAUUGAAACUGUAUUUCUUGAGAUGUGGAGAGGCAAGUGGAAUUCCUAGUAUAGCGGUGAAAUGCGUAGAUAUUAGGAAGAAUACCGGUGGCGAAGGCGACUUGCUGGACAAAAACUGACGCUGAGGAACGAAAGCGUGGGUAGCAAACAGG